UCUCUUCCUGAUCAAUCAACGAUAAAUAUUCAUCUUCAGUACCAAACCUGCAUUCCAAAAGCUCUACUCUAACCCUAGCAAGUCCUCAUGGAAACUGAAUCACAACAGCAGCUUCACAUUUUCUUCUUUCCAUUUAUGGGUCCAGGACAUAGCAUACCUAUCAUAGAGAUUGCCAAACAAUUUGCUUCUUACUCAGUAAAAUCCACCAUCAUAACCACUCCUCUCAAUGCACCACAAUUUUCCAAAGCAAUCCAAAGAAGAAAACACUUGGGGUUUGAUCAUGAAAUUGAACUUCUACUCCUGAAGUUCCCCUCUGUUGAAGCUGGGUUGCCACAAGAAUGUGAGAGCUAUAACUUGGCUACGUCAACACUAGAGAUGGAGCUAACAUUCUUCAAAGCUAUUACUUUGCUUGAACCACAAUUUGAGCAGGUUUUGGACAAACACCGUCCUCACUGUCUCGUUGUUGAUACCAUGUUUCCUUGGGCUACAACUGCUGCUUCAAAGUUUGGUAUUCCAAGUCUCCUCUUUCAUGGAACCGGCUUCUUCUCAUUGUGUGCUUCAAAGAGUAUAAUAAUACAUCAACCUCACUUGAAGUUGUCAUCUGAUUCAGAGUCUGUUGUCAUUCCUGAUCUUCCAGUUGAAAUUAAGAUAAAAGGAAGCCAAAUACCAUCUUAUUUAAAGCUGAACCUUGUAAAUGAAUUCACCAAGUUGUUUAGAUCAUCCAAGGACGCUGAGGAUAGGAGCUAUGGGGUUAUUGUCAACAGCUUCUAUGAACUUGAACCAGAUUAUGCUGAUCACUAUAGAAAAAUGUUUGGGAAGAAGAUAUGGAUUAUCGGCCCAGGGUCACUGUACAACAAGGUAGCAGAACAUAAAGCAGAGAGGGGAUGCAUGGAAAGCAUUGAGGAAGUGCACAAGUGCUUAUACUAGCUAAAUUCUAAGAAACCGAAGACAGUUGUUUAUGUAUGCUUUGGAAGCCUGACCAAUUUCAAUGAUUUUCAGCUUCUGGAAAUUGCAGUGGGGCUAGAGGCUAGCGGGCAAGAGUUCAUUUGGGUUGUGAACAAAGAAAAUAAAGACAAAGAAGAGUGGUUGCCUGAGGGGUUUGAGCAGAGAAUGGAAGGUAAGGGACUCAUUAUAAGAGGCUGGGCUCCCCAAGUGCUCAUUCUUGAGCAUGAAGCAAUCGGAGGCUUUGUGACUCAUUGUGGGUGGAACUCAAUCCUUGAAGGAGUGUCUGCUGGUGUGCCAAUGAUCACAUGGCCAGUCUCGGCUGAGCAGACUUUUAAUGAAAAGUUGGUGACAGAGAUACUUCGAACUGGUGUUGCCGUUGGUGCUGAUAUAUGGGGCACAUUUGCAGAUGAAAUUGUGAAGAUGGAGGCCGGUGUAAAGAGGGUGGCAAUAGAAAAGUCCGUGAUUCUUAUCAUGGUGGGUGAUGAAGCAGAGGUAAUGAGAAGCCGCGCCAAAGAGCUAGGAAAGAUGGCAAGGAUGGCAGUUGAAGAAGGCGGUUCAUCGUUCAAGGAUUUACGUGCUCUAAUUGCUGAGUUGAGGUCCCUUUCAUCUCCACUCUUCUAUUUUAAAAUUGGGAGCACCUACAGGUGUUCAAAUGUUGUACUUAGUACUAAGGCCAAAAACAAUUGUAAUGGAAUGAAAUGGUGGUAACAAGUUAAAAACAUUGCGAU
RNA transcript from Fragaria vesca subsp. vesca, 1673 nucleotides. It is a transcript of the gene named UDP-glucose flavonoid 3-O-glucosyltransferase 7-like, with no coding region annotated. The transcript has 2 exons. The record is from RefSeq and is a predicted model, not a curated record. NCBI's taxonomy places the organism in Eukaryota, Viridiplantae, Streptophyta, Magnoliopsida, Rosales, Rosaceae.